UAGGGAAUCUUCGGCAAUGGACGAAAGUCUGACCGAGCAACGCCGCGUGAGUGAAGAAGGUUUUCGGAUCGUAAAACUCUGUUGUUAGAGAAGAACAAGGACGUUAGUAACUGAACGUCCCCUGACGGUAUCUAACCAGAAAGCCACGGCUAACUACGUGCCAGCAGCCGCGGUAAUACGUAGGUGGCAAGCGUUGUCCGGAUUUAUUGGGCGUAAAGCGAGCGCAGGCGGUUUCUUAAGUCUGAUGUGAAAGCCCCCGGCUCAACCGGGGAGGGUCAUUGGAAACUGGGAGAAUUGAGUGCAGAAGAGGGGAGUGGAAUUCGAUGUGUAGCGGUGAAAUGCGUAGAUAUAUGGAGGAACACCAGUGGCGAAGGCGGCUCUCUGGUCUGUAACUGACGCUGAGGCUCGAAAGCGUGGGGAGCAAACAGG
RNAcentral lists this ribosomal RNA (429 nucleotides) under Gemmatimonadota bacterium. Its description in RNAcentral is "Gemmatimonadetes bacterium partial 16S ribosomal RNA". It matches the Rfam family "Bacterial small subunit ribosomal RNA", at positions 355 to 776 of the family's 1533-position model. Lineage: Bacteria; Pseudomonadati; Gemmatimonadota. The record is from RNAcentral.